This is a long non-coding RNA of Halichondria panicea, 564 nucleotides long. RefSeq lists it as uncharacterized. Lineage: Eukaryota; Metazoa; Porifera; Demospongiae; Suberitida; Halichondriidae. The transcript has 2 exons. The record is from RefSeq and is a predicted model, not a curated record.
GUUUUAUCAUUAUUGGAAUGGCUCUUAGCUGAAGCUUCUCUCUUCUCUGAAGCUUAAAAAACAUUAUUCUGAAGACUGAACAACAAGGGAAGAGGUAUAAAACUUUGUCAAGCUUGUUAAGGAGCAAUGGCUACUAUCCAGCUAUCCCAACAUUGUUCCUCUUGGCUAUACUAACGGACGAGACUGGACAGUUUAAGGUAAGGGUUUAACCGUGUUUGGUUUCUUUAAUAUUGUCCUAUACUUACAGGACUGGAGUAUGACCUGCUCGUUCGAGUGUUGCUGGGUAGCUCAGAGGCAUCAAGAGAAUCUACGUUUUCUCAAACAAAGUUUAACUGAGUUACGAGUUGGGGCCUAGAAUCAGAGAAGUCCAGCAGCCUGCUAAAUCGUUGAAACGUAAUUUGAAGGCAUUCAAUCAUCUUGAAGUUGCCCUGGGUCACUGUAAUCGUGCUGCAGCACAACUGGCAACUCCCUAGGCCCUUGUGAAGCAGCUCCCUAUGUGCAUCUUUUGUGUACUCACUCUGUGCAUUUUCUGUGUACAAAUUUCGAUUAUUGAUUUAUUAAAUA